This 353-nucleotide ribosomal RNA is filed under the name uncultured Racocetra. Its description in RNAcentral is "SSU rRNA". It matches the Rfam family "Eukaryotic small subunit ribosomal RNA", at positions 569 to 929 of the family's 1831-position model. Lineage: Eukaryota; Fungi; Glomeromycota; Glomeromycetes; Diversisporales; Gigasporaceae. The record is from RNAcentral.
AGCAGCCGCGGUAAUUCCAGCUCCAAUAGCGUAUAUUAAAGUUGUUGCAGUUAAAAAGCUCGUAGUUGAAUUUCGGGGUUCUACCGUUGGUCAGGCUAUUGUCUGCACUGGUGUGUAGAAUUUCUACCUUCUGGGGAACUAUCAUGUUAUUAAUUUAGCGUGGUAGGAAACCAGGACCUUUACCUUGAAAAAAUUAGAGUGUUCAAAGCAGGCUUAUGCCUGAAUACAUUAGCAUGGAAUAAUAAAAUAGGACGGUGGUCCUGUUUUGUUGGUUUCUGAAUCACCGUAAUGAUUAAUAGGGAUAGUUGGGGGCAUUAGUAUUCAAUUGUCAGAGGUGAAAUUCUUGGAUUUAU